GGCGGGACGGGAGGGGGUGGGAGAGGGUCCACCACGCAGGUCUGCGCCCCGGCCUGGGAUCUGGACGCCGGACCGCUGGACCUACAAAUGGACAAGUUUGCUCUGCGACAAGUGGCGGGCGGGGCUGGGUUGGGGUUGGGUGUUCCAGGAGGCCCGGGCUGCUGGAGGAGGAAUCUGCUUCCUUCCUUCCCGGGAGAUCUCCGGGCCUGCCGCUCUCCCCCGCGCCGCGCUCCCGGACCCGCAGGGGGUCGCAUCGACUCCCCCUCCGCUCCCUAUCUACCCCAGCCCCCCGGGCCCCGCUGAAUUACAGGCGGGAAAACGCGGAGUCCCUUCCCGUGUCGCUCCGGAGAGGGAGGGGGACGACAGAGGAAGUUGGACUGAAUCAAGUCGAAGCGGUUUAUCGAGGGAACCUGUAAAACCCGAAUCUUAAAAGGAGGGGGAAGCAAAGCAUCCGUCACAGGCCACUCCCCGGCUGUUCGACAAGCCACCAGACCCUCUCUUCCUCUUCCCGCCCCCUCCCCACGGCUGCUGGGGGCUCCCGCCUCCCUUCGGCCUCUGUCCAACUUCAGCCUCCGUCCGGCCUCGACCUCCCUCCAGCGUCGGCCUCCGUCCAACCUCAACUUCCUUCCAGCCUCGGCCUCUCUCCAGCUUCGGCCUCCGUCCAACCUCAACCUCCCUCCAGCCUCGGCCUCCCUCCAGCCUCGGCCUCCGUCCAGCCUCAACCUCCUUCCAGCCUCGGCCUCCGUCCAGCCUCAACCUCCGUCCAACCUCAACCUCCUUCCAGCCUCGGCCUCCCUCCAGCUUCGGCCUCCGUCCAACCUCCUUCCAGCCUCGGCCUCCCUCCGGCCUCAGCUUCCCUCCAGCUUCGGCCUCCGUCCAGCCUCAGUGGACCACCUCUCCCUGCAGGCCCGAGCUCCCUUCCCCUCGACUUCAGCCCCUACUUCCAGCCUCCACCUCCUUCACUGCUUCUGCCUCAGCCCGUCAGCUCCGGCGGCCUGACCCAACUCCUCUUCUUCCCACCGCCCCGUUUCUCCGGCCCUUCCUCCUCCUCCACCAUCACCGGGCCCCUCUGUCCUCAUUUAAGUCCUCACAGAGCCCACCCUCUCCAGGAAGCCUUCUUUGAUUUAGGCAAGAAAGGUUGUCCAGCUAGUCCAAGCCGCUUCUCUGCCCUUCGGGACUGCCCCCAAAUCUUACAAAAUGAGGAAAGAAGGCCUGACACCCCCCACUCCCAUCCCUGUGCCCAGAGAAAACCGAGUCUGUCAGAAACUUCCCUGCCCCAGCCAGGGAGGACGCCCGAGACCGCUCAAACUCAUCUUGUUUGUCUCUCUGCCUCCGUGUUCCACGCCAGAGUCCGCAUGCAGAUGAGCCAAACCUCCUCACCCCCUCCCCACUGGCCACCCCUCUCCCAGCCCCAUCCUGGAAGGGGGCCGGCCACCCAACAAGGGGCUGCCAAUAAAAUGAGUAAAACUUCAAA
Molecule: long non-coding RNA, 1474 nt
Organism: Ornithorhynchus anatinus (platypus)
Lineage: Eukaryota; Metazoa; Chordata; Mammalia; Monotremata; Ornithorhynchidae
Exons: 2
Source: RefSeq, a predicted model, not a curated record